GAUCUUCGUGUAUAUGGAACGGAUAAAGAACAUAUACUAAGGACACCUGAAGAUCCAUUUUAUAAGCAGAUGGCUGCUGAAUUUACUAAGAAUCAGAUAGCGGUUGAUAUUUUUGCUUUAAGCGACAGAUACUCUGAUAUUGCUUCUUUAGGUUCUCUCGCCAAAUAUACUGGUGGUCAGGUGUAUCAUUUUCCAUCUUUCCAGGCAGCUGCGCAUCAGGAGAAAUUCCAAUAUGAAUUGGCCAGGGACCUUACCAGGGAGACUGCCUGGGAAGCAGUAAUGCGUAUCAGAUGUGGAAAAGGAGUGCGUUUUACUACAUACCAUGGACAUUUU
Molecule: unclassified non-coding RNA, 333 nt
Filed under: Hevea brasiliensis (rubber tree)
Lineage: Eukaryota; Viridiplantae; Streptophyta; Magnoliopsida; Malpighiales; Euphorbiaceae
Source: RNAcentral